UUCCAGCUCCAGUAGCGUAUAUUAAAGUUGUUGCAGCUAAAAAGCUCGUAGUUGGAUCUCGGGUCGUCGGUAGGGGUUCAGGUUCAUGCCUGCUUACUCCUGUCGAUACCUAACUGGUGGGACGCUGUGGGUGCCCUUGACUGGGUCGCCUACUGCACCCGCUCAAUUUACUUUGAAAAAAUUAGAGUGUUCAAGGCAGGCUCACACGCCUGUAUAAUGGUGCAUGGAAUAAUGGAAUAGGAUCUCGGUUCUAUUUUGUUGGUUUUCGGAACUAGAGAUAAUGAUUAAGAGGGACAGACGGGGCAUUCGUAUUGCGGUGUUAGAGGUGAAAUUCUUGGAUCGCCGCAAGACGAACUACUGCGAAAGCAUUUGCCAGGAAUGUUUUCAUUA
Molecule: ribosomal RNA, 390 nt
Filed under: Annelida sp.
Lineage: Eukaryota; Metazoa; Annelida
Description: partial small subunit ribosomal RNA
Rfam family: Eukaryotic small subunit ribosomal RNA
Source: RNAcentral